Petromyzon marinus (sea lamprey) is the source of this 822-nucleotide non-coding RNA. NCBI's taxonomy places the organism in Eukaryota, Metazoa, Chordata, Hyperoartia, Petromyzontiformes, Petromyzontidae. The record is from RefSeq and is a predicted model, not a curated record.
GCCACACCCCCUCGCCCCACCCCUUUACCCCCCUCACCCCGCCCCUCCCCCCGCUGCUUCUUCCGCUGAGGCCGGGGCGAGUGGAGGCGGCGCUGUGCAUUGUGGGUGGCGAGCGGCCGAUUUGGAUUCCCGCUCACGGCCACCGUCGGUGGCUCGCGAGCUUCUGAAGCGGCGGCUCGCUGGCUGGGCCACCUCUACGUCGACUCAGCCCGAAGAAGGCGAGAAGCUUGCACGCACAACAACAAGAAGCAGGAGGAGGAAGGUUCGUCUCCCAAGCCGAGCGCUUCUGGGUCCACCUUCAUGAUCCUCCCUCUGCCCCAGGGUGGAAAGAUCCCCUCGCACAGGGUUACGGCCGGGGCGAGUGGAGGCUGCGCUGUGCAUUGUGGGUGGCGAGAGGCUGAUUUGGAUUCCCUCUCACGGUCACCGUCGGUGGCUCGCGAGCUUCUGAAGUGGUGGCUCGUUGGCUGGGCCUCCUCUACGUCGACUCAGCCAGAAGGUGGUGCAGGUUCAGGAGUUUUCUGGCUGCACUCCGACCUUUGGCCUUGGCUGUCGCCCAAGUGGGAUUGUCGCACAGCAGGCAACCCAUAGCAUCAGUAUCUGUCCCAUGACCUCCUCUUGCACCUAGCCUGGCACAGCAAUCAACCCAUGGCACCUGGGUUGUUGUGAUGACAUCACCGUCAUGUAGUGGCAAAUUACGGCUGUUGUCAUCGUGAGUUUGUAGGCUUGUGUGUGAGUAAUGGUGCAUGUGUGACUUUCAUGACGUGUGUGAGAGUAGGAUGGUAGGGGUGUGUUUUUGAGGGUAUGUGAGUGUGUGAGUAUCAU